AGAGUUUGAUCAUGGCUCAGAUUGUACGCUGGCGGCAGGCUUAACACAUGCAAGUCGAACGGUAACAGGAGAAAGCUUGCUUUCUUGCUGACGAGUGGCGGACGGGUGAGUAAUGCUUGGGAAUCUGGCUUAUGGAGGGGGAUAACUACGGGAAACUGUAGCUAAUACCGCGUAAUAUCUUCGGAUUAAAGGGUGGGACUUUCGGGCCACCUGCCAUAAGAUGAGCCCAAGUGGGAUUAGGUAGUUGGUGGGGUAAGGGCCUACCAAGCCGACGAUCUCUAGCUGGUCUGAGAGGAUGACCAGCCACACUGGAACUGAGACACGGUCCAGACUCCUACGGGAGGCAGCAGUGGGGAAUAUUGCACAAUGGGGGGAACCCUGAUGCAGCCAUGCCGCGUGAAUGAAGAAGGCCUUCGGGUUGUAAAGUUCUUUCGGUGAUGAGGAAGGCGGUUGUUUUAAUAGAACAAUCGAUUGACGUUAGUCACAGAAGAAGCACCGGCUAACUCCGUGCCAGCAGCCGCGGUAAUACGGAGGGUGCGAGCGUUAAUCGGAAUGACUGGGCGUAAAGGGCACGCAGGCGGUGACUUAAGUGAGAUGUGAAAGCCCCGGGCUUAGCCUGGGAAUUGCAUUUCAUACUGGGUCGCUAGAGUAUUUUAGGGAGGGGUAGAAUUCCACGUGUAGCGGUGAAAUGCGUAGAGAUGUGGAGGAAUACCGAAGGCGAAGGCAGCCCCUUGGGAAUAUACUGACGCUCAUGUGCGAAAGCGUGGGGAGCAAACAGGAUUAGAUACCCUGGUAGUCCACGCUGUAAACGCUGUCGAUUUGGGGAUUGGGCUUUAAGCUUGGUGCCCGUAGCU
Molecule: ribosomal RNA, 854 nt
Filed under: uncultured bacterium
Lineage: Bacteria
Description: bacterial SSU rRNA
Rfam family: Bacterial small subunit ribosomal RNA
Source: RNAcentral